Molecule: microRNA precursor, 82 nt
Organism: Ophiophagus hannah (king cobra)
Lineage: Eukaryota; Metazoa; Chordata; Lepidosauria; Squamata; Elapidae
Rfam family: mir-199 microRNA precursor family
About the family: This family consists of the microRNA (miRNA) precursor mir-199 which appears to be specific to humans. Animal miRNAs are transcribed as ~70nt precursors and subsequently processed by the Dicer enzyme to give a ~22nt product.
Source: Rfam
GCCCCACUUGCCCAGCGUUCAGACUACCUGUUCAGAAAACUACAAAAGUAUACAGUAGUUUGCACAUUGAUUAGAUUGGGCU